UGGCAGACGGGUGAGGAACACGUAUCUAACCUGACGCGUGAUGGGGGAUAGUCUUGCGAAAGUGGGUUGAAUACCGCAUACGCUCGUUCCGUGGAGGCGCGGGACGAAGAAAGUUGGCCUCUGCGAGCACGCUGAUGUCGCGCGAGGGGGAUGCGUCCUAUUAGCUAGCUGGUGGGGUAAUGGCCUACCAGGGCGACGAUGGGUAGCUGGUCUGAGAGGAUUCUCAGCCACCUGGGACUGGGAACGCCGAUCUACGGAGGCAGCAUUGGGACUUCGCAUGGACGCCAGUCGACGCAGCACGCCGCGUGCCGAGACGCCUUCGGGGUGUAAGCGCGUCAGAGGGGACGAAGACCCGCGAGGUGAGAGCUUGGCGGGGUGACGGUACUUCAGAGAAGCCCGGCUAACUCCGUGCAGCAGCCGCGGUAAGACGGAGGGGGCAAGCGUUGUUCGGAAUCAUUGGCGUAAGGGGCGCGUAGGCGGCGCAUCAAGUGUGACGUGAAAGCCCUCGGCUUACCCGAGGAAGGGCGUCGCAAACUGAUGGGCUGGAGUGCCGGAGGGGAAGGCGGAAUGCCUGGUGGAGCGGUGAAAUGCGUAGAGAUCAGGCAGAACGUCGGUGGCGAAGGCGGCCUUCUGGACGGACACUGACGCUGAGGCGCGAGAGCGUGGGGAGCGAACGGGAUUAGAUACCCCGGUAGUCCACGCCGUAAACGAUGGGCACUAGGUGUGGGGGUGGUGAUCAUCUCCGUGCCGGAGCUAACGCAGUAAGUGCCCCGCCUGGGGAGUACGGUCGCAAGGCUGAAACUCAAGGAAUUGACGGGGGCCCGCACAGCGGUGGAGCAUGUGGUUUAAUUCGACGCAACGCGCAGACCCUUACCUGGGCUUGACAUGUCACGGCGAUCGGCUGAAAGGUCGAGUGCCUUUGGGCCCGUGACACAGGUGCUGCAUGGCUGUCGUCAGCUCGUGUCGUGAGAUGUUGGGUUAAGUCCGCAACGAGCGCAACCCCUGCCGUCGUUACCAGCAGGUUUGGCUGGGGACUCGACGGGGACUGUCGGUGUGACGGCGGAGGAAGGUGGGGAUGACGUCAAGUCCUCAUGGCCCUGACGCCCAGGGCUACACACGUGCUACAAUGGGGGGGACAACGGGUCGCGACCUUGCGAGAGGGAGCCAAUCCCGAAGCCCCUUCUCAGUUCGGAUUGGAGUCUGCAACUCGACUCCAUGAAGGUGGAAUCGCUAGUAAUCGCGGAUCAGCAUGCCGCGGUGAAUACGUUCCCGGGCCUUGUACACACCGCCCGUCACACCACGAAAGUUGUGUGUACCCGAAGUCGCCGGGCCAACCCUUCGGGGGGGCAGGCGCCGAAGGUAUGCAGAGCGAUUGGGGUGAAGUCGUAACAAGGUAACC
RNAcentral lists this ribosomal RNA (1399 nucleotides) under uncultured microorganism. RNAcentral describes it as "16S ribosomal RNA". It matches the Rfam family "Bacterial small subunit ribosomal RNA". The record is from RNAcentral.